This 1210-nucleotide long non-coding RNA is filed under the name Volvox carteri. Its description in RNAcentral is "long non-coding RNA (VCAR_LNC003084)". The record is from RNAcentral. Lineage: Eukaryota; Viridiplantae; Chlorophyta; Chlorophyceae; Chlamydomonadales; Volvocaceae.
ACGUUACGGGUCCCGUAAUUUGAGCACAAGGAUACAGGUGAACAUUUACGGGUGAAGACCCAGUGAUUACGGGUGGAUUUUACGCGGUGCUGGAGGUUAAUUACGGGCGCAUGUAACCAAUUACACGCAAAAUUACGGGUGAAGACCCAGUGAUUACAGGUGGAUUUUACGUGGUGCUGGAGGUUAAUUACGGGCGCAUGUAACCAAUUACACGCAAAAUUACGGGUGAAGACCCAGUGAUUACGGGUGGAUUUUACGCGGUGCUGGAGGUGAAUUACGGGCGCAUGUAACCAAUUACACGCGAAAUUACGGGUGAAGACCCAGUGAUUACGGGUGGAUUUUACGCGGUGCUGGAGGUGAAUUACGGGCGCAUGUAACCAAUUACACGCAAAAUUACGGGUGAAGACCCAGUGAUUACGGGUGGAUUUUACGCGGUGCUGGAGGUGAAUUACGGGCGCAUGUAACCAAUUACACGCAAAAUUACGGGUGCAGACCCAGUGAUUACGGGUGGAUUUUACGCGGUGCUGGAGGUGAAUUACGGGCGCAUGUAACCAAUUACACGCAAAAUUACGGGUGAAGACCCAGUGAUUACGGGUUACACAGGCAGAUAUUACUCUGCGAUGUGACGCUUACUGCAUGUUAAAUUAACGAUUGGUGAAUACUUGCGGCAAGCCUCAAAAUGGACGCACACCCCUUGUCAAAGUAGCUUAAGUCUCAGUGUGCUUGUGGACCAAGGCGCUUUGGACUCACAACGCCAACCAGCCAGCCUGACAGCCUGAUGCAUUCAUCUCAACCAUCGUCCUCGAAAACAGCGUUCAUGUCACCCCCCAUACAGCAAGUGCUCGCCAAGGAGUCUCACCACCACUUGCAGAGUUCAUGCCUACUCCUACGGAUGAAACCCCCGAUGCAUGACAUGUACCGGCACCUAUUGGGAUUGGUCUGUCCCAUCCUGCCUGGGGCCGACCUGGUGUGUGCACCCCCAAGCGCUCAUCACUGCUGCCAUGUUACUGCUCACUUCCACCACUGUCGCUGCUGCCACUGCCACUGCUGCUGCUGCUAGCUUCGCUAUAUUUGCCCGGGUCCUCCGAGCUGGACUCCUCCCCAGCGCCAGCGGCUAGGACCUCUUCCUCACCAGCAUCCGACCCACCCUCCAAGCUACCCUCCUCUGUCCGCCCCCUCCGCCCUCCCUUGCCUGCGCCGCCCUUCCCCG